AGUUAAAAAACUUUAAAGAAAGUGUAUGUCUUGAAAUCAUAAAAAAGGAGUUCAAUUCUCCUAUUAACUU
This 70-nucleotide transfer RNA is filed under the name Protagonista lugubris. Its description in RNAcentral is "tRNA-Ser". It matches the Rfam family "tRNA". From Rfam's summary of the family: Transfer RNA (tRNA) molecules are approximately 80 nucleotides in length. Their secondary structure includes four short double-helical elements and three loops (D, anti-codon, and T loops). Lineage: Eukaryota; Metazoa; Arthropoda; Insecta; Blattodea; Blattidae. The record is from RNAcentral.